GCCGCUAUAGCUCAGUUGGUAGAGCGCGGCACUAGUAAUGCCGAGGUCUACGGUUCGAAGUAUGUAUCGCCCUGAAAUCCGUCUCUCAUUGCAACA
Molecule: transfer RNA, 96 nt
Filed under: Hortaea werneckii EXF-2000
Lineage: Eukaryota; Fungi; Ascomycota; Dothideomycetes; Mycosphaerellales; Teratosphaeriaceae
Description: tRNA-Thr (AGT) (tRNA-Thr-AGT-4-1)
Rfam family: tRNA (bases 7-84)
About the family: Transfer RNA (tRNA) molecules are approximately 80 nucleotides in length. Their secondary structure includes four short double-helical elements and three loops (D, anti-codon, and T loops).
Source: RNAcentral